RNAcentral lists this ribosomal RNA (324 nucleotides) under Triticum aestivum (bread wheat). Its description in RNAcentral is "partial small subunit ribosomal RNA". Lineage: Eukaryota; Viridiplantae; Streptophyta; Magnoliopsida; Poales; Poaceae. The record is from RNAcentral.
AUGCCUCGAGGGGUCAGGGAGAGAAGCCAUGGCUUGAGCGAGACCGCGAGCGCAGCGACCGAAAGGCGACAACGGCCAAGAUCCAGUCCUCCGCCUCCGAGUUUGUCCGGCAGCGACCGGAGAGACGGACCGCCCCCUCCCUCCGGUGCUCCGGCUGCAUGCUCCACCCACCAGCGACCGCGACGGCCGUGGUCGUCACCCUCCUCCUUCCCCGAAUCUACCGUCCUCCUCGAAGUUCCUGCCCCUCCGGUGAUGGCAACGGCGACGGUUCCACGAUCAACUUCCACCUACUUCCACCAAGGUGCUCUAAACCUCUGGCAUUAG